CGAGUAAACUGUAUCGUAGCGCAAGAUUUUCUUGCGAGGAAAGUCCGAGCAUCAUAGGACAGGAUAGCUGUUAACGGCAGCCGGAGGCGACUCUAGGGCUAGUGCAACAGAAAGAUACCGCCUGAUGAUUCAGGUAAGGAUGGAAAGGCGAGGUAAGAGCUCACCAGCAUAUACGAGAGUAUGUGGCUAUGUAAACCCUAUCCGAUGCAACACCGACUAAGAUGUUAUCGUUGGUCCGACGGUCUUGACGGGUGGCAGUAAGCAAAGUUUUUAACUUCGUUAAAAACCGCUUCGAGCAUAUAGGCAACUAUGUGCAAAGAUAGAUUACGAUACAACAUUGAUUUUCAAUGUGGACAGAACUCGGCUUAUAGGUUUAGUCGCAAU
RNAcentral lists this RNase P RNA (384 nucleotides) under Paludihabitans sp. MB14-C6. Its description in RNAcentral is "Paludicola sp. MB14-C6 RNase P RNA component class A". It matches the Rfam family "Bacterial RNase P class A". Rfam says of the family: Ribonuclease P (RNase P) is a ubiquitous endoribonuclease, found in archaea, bacteria and eukarya as well as chloroplasts and mitochondria. Lineage: Bacteria; Bacillati; Bacillota; Clostridia; Eubacteriales; Oscillospiraceae. The record is from RNAcentral.